CGUGCCAGCAGCCGCGGUAAUACAGAGGGUGCAAGCGUUGUUCGGAAUUACUGGGCGUAAAGCGUGCGUAGUCGGUAUUGAGAGUCGCGGGUGAAAUCCCAGGGCUUAACCCUGGAACUGCCUGCGAGACCUCAGUACUAGAGUGUGAGAGGGGAUAGUGGAAUACCCAGUGUAGCGGUGAAAUGCGUAGAGAUUGGGUGGAACACCGGUGGCGAAGGCGGCUAUCUGGCUCACAACUGACGAUCAGGCACGAAAGCGUGGGGAGCAAACAGGAUUAGAUACCCUGGUAGUCCACGCCGUAAACGAU
RNAcentral lists this ribosomal RNA (307 nucleotides) under uncultured bacterium. Its description in RNAcentral is "bacterial SSU rRNA". It matches the Rfam family "Bacterial small subunit ribosomal RNA", at positions 504 to 810 of the family's 1533-position model. The record is from RNAcentral.